UCCAACCACUGUGUUAAAGCACUCUCAACUCCCACUUUUAUCUUUCUCCGUCACCUAAAAACUUUCUCGAGAAAAUCUCAAAUCUGAUUCAGAAUUUAGCUUCACACUUUCUCAAGUCUCUACUUACUUACACUCAAAUUCAUCGAAAAUGACGACGAUUCCGAUGGAUAUCGUCAACGACCUAUUCCUCCGAUUACCAGCAAAAACCCUGGUUCGCUUCCGAGCUCUCUCGAAGCCGUGUUGUCACCUAAUCGACAGUCCCGAUUUCGUCUCUUCUCAUCUCAAUCGCGUCCUCGAAACCGGUGACCACCUCAUGAUCCUUCUAAGAGGCGCUCUUCAUCUCUACACCGUAGAUCUCGAUUCGCUAGACACCGUCUCCGACGUUGAGCACCCGAUGAAACGCGGUGGUCCGACGGAGGUUUUCGGAUCCUCCAACGGUUUAAUCGGAUUAUCGAAUUCCCCAACCGAUUUAGCCAUCUUCAACCCAUCUACUCGCCAGAUCCACCGGUUACCUCCUUCACCUAUCGAUCUCCCCGAUGGUUCGACCACUCGUGGUUACGUCUUCUACGGAUUAGGUUACGAUUCAGUGAAUGACGAUUACAAAGUCGUGAGGAUGGUUCAGUUUAAGCGUGACUCAGAUGAUGAGCUUGGUUGCAGUUUCCCUUACGAGGUUAAAGUAUUUUCCUUAAAGAGAAAUUCAUGGAAGAGAAUCGAUUCGUCUUUUCCCACGAUUCAGCUACUGUUUUAUUUCUAUUACCAUCUGUUGUAUCGUCGUGGUUAUGGUGUUCUUGCUGGUAAUAGUCUUCACUGGGUUUUGCCACGAAGGCCUGGUUUGAUUGCUUUCAAUAUCAUUGUGAGGUUUGAUCUUGCUCUAGAGGAAUUCGAAAUCCUUCGUUUACCUGAAGCUGUAGCGAACGGUGAUGUUGAUAUUCAGAUGGAUAUAGCUGUUUUAGAUGGGUGUCUUUGUUUGAUGUGUAACUACGAUCAGAAACAUGUUGAUGUUUGGAUUAUGAGAGAGUACAAUGUGAGAGACUCUUGGACUAAAGCUUUCACUGUUCAGAAACCGAAAAGCGUGAAAUCGUUUGCGUAUAUGAGACCUUUGGUUUAUUCCAAGGACAGGGAUAAAGUUCUCUUGGAGAUAAACAAUACGAAGCUGGUUUGGUUUGAUCUCGAGACUAGGAAGCUUAGUACACUUAGGAUUAAGGAUUGUCCUAGCUCGUUUAGUGCAGAACUCGUUGUGAGUAGCCUUGUUUUGGGAUGUAAAGGAGAUGUUAAUAACGUAAAGCUCCGCAAAGAACAGCGAGCUAAAGAAGAUAAAUUGAUGAAGAACAGUAACAAAAGGGAUGAUUUCCUGUCCAAGGGAUUCAAGUUGGUCUUAUAAGCAAAAGCAAGAAAAAGGAGGUAAGUGUAAAAUCUUGCCAUUGUUAAUGGUGUUUUAGUUUCUGCUACAUCUUUAUUUUCUUUUCUCUCUUCUCUUAUGUUGCGCGGACGAGCCUUUUUCAUAUUCGGGUGGACACAAAGAGUCAAAGAUAGAGUAUGUCAUAGGGCACGGGGUAACGGGAAGGAGAUAUAGCUUCUACCAAAGCUUUGGAUACGACAGGAGAUAGUAAUAAACAACAAAACCUACGUUUAUGUCCUUAAAGAAGAGACUUUACUUCAAUACGGGAAUUGUACUAGGACCCAAGUUAUAGUAGUGUUGUUUUGUAAAUGAGUGAAAUCUAGAUCACUAUGUAAGUCUUUUGAAGCUUGUUAUAACUUAAUACUAACGCUUUGUACUUGCUUUUAAUCUGCAUAAAUUGACAUGUGAAUGAUUUGUUU
Molecule: RNA transcript, 1818 nt
Organism: Eutrema salsugineum
Lineage: Eukaryota; Viridiplantae; Streptophyta; Magnoliopsida; Brassicales; Brassicaceae
Gene name: F-box protein CPR1
Exons: 3
Source: RefSeq, a predicted model, not a curated record